RNAcentral lists this ribosomal RNA (389 nucleotides) under Escherichia coli. Its description in RNAcentral is "bacterial SSU rRNA". It matches the Rfam family "Bacterial small subunit ribosomal RNA", at positions 865 to 1254 of the family's 1533-position model. Lineage: Bacteria; Pseudomonadati; Pseudomonadota; Gammaproteobacteria; Enterobacterales; Enterobacteriaceae. The record is from RNAcentral.
UCGACCGCCUGGGGAGUACGGCCGCAAGGUUAAAACUCAAAUGAAUUGACGGGGGCCCGCACAAGCGGUGGAGCAUGUGGUUUAAUUCGAUGCAACGCGAAGAACCUUACCUGGUCUUGACAUCCACAGAACUUUCCAGAGAUGGAUUGGUGCCUUCGGGAACUGUGAGACAGGUGCUGCAUGGCUGUCGUCAGCUCGUGUUGUGAAAUGUUGGGUUAAGUCCCGCAACGAGCGCAACCCUUAUCCUUUGUUGCCAGCGGUCCGGCCGGGAACUCAAAGGAGACUGCCAGUGAUAAACUGGAGGAAGGUGGGGAUGACGUCAAGUCAUCAUGGCCCUUACGACCAGGGCUACACACGUGCUACAAUGGCGCAUACAAAGAGAAGCGACC